CGGAUUAGUGGCGAACGGGUGAGUAACAUAUCGGAACGUACCCAGUAAUGGGGGAUAACUAGUCGAAAGACUGGCUAAUACCGCAUACGCCCUGAGGGGGAAAGCGGGGGGAUCGAAAGACCUCGUGUUAUUGGAGCGGCCGAUAUCUGAUUAGCUAGUUGGUGGGGUAAAGGCCUACCAAGGCGACGAUCAGUAGCUGGUCUGAGAGGACGACCAGCCACACUGGAACUGAGGCACGGUCCAG
This 244-nucleotide ribosomal RNA is filed under the name uncultured bacterium. RNAcentral's name for it is "partial 16S ribosomal RNA". It matches the Rfam family "Bacterial small subunit ribosomal RNA", at positions 88 to 334 of the family's 1533-position model. The record is from RNAcentral.